GAUGAACGCUGGCGGCGUGCCUAAUACAUGCAAGUCGAGCGAAAGGACGAGGAGCUUGCGUCUCUGAUGUUAGAGGCGGACGGGAGAGUAACACGUGGAUAACCUACCUAUCAGACUGGGAUAACUUCGGGAAACCGGAGCUAAUACCGGAUGAUAUUUUGCACCGCGUGGUUCAAAAGUGAAAGACGGUCUUGCGGUCAGUUAUAGAUGGCUACGCGCUGCAUUAGCUAGUUGGUAAGGUAAAGGCUUACCAAGGCUACGAUGGAUAGCCGACCUGAGAGAGUGGUCGGCCACAUGGGAACUGAGACAGCGUCCAGACUCCUGCGGUAGGCAGCAGUACGGAAUCUUCCGCAAUGGGGGAGAGCCUGACGUUGCAACGCCGCGUAAGUGAUGAAGGACCUCUGCUCGUAAAGCUCUGUUAGUAGUAGAGAACAUAUGUUUAAUUAACCGUGCACAUAUUGACGGUACCGGGUCAGAAAGCCCCGGCUAACUACGUG
Molecule: ribosomal RNA, 497 nt
Filed under: uncultured bacterium
Lineage: Bacteria
Description: partial 16S ribosomal RNA
Rfam family: Bacterial small subunit ribosomal RNA
Source: RNAcentral